This is a long non-coding RNA of Alnus glutinosa, 387 nucleotides long. RefSeq lists it as uncharacterized. NCBI's taxonomy places the organism in Eukaryota, Viridiplantae, Streptophyta, Magnoliopsida, Fagales, Betulaceae. The transcript has 2 exons. The record is from RefSeq and is a predicted model, not a curated record.
AACAUGAGGUUUGAGGUCAAGAGACGCUUCCUCCUUGGUUUUCUUGUGCUUACUGCCCUGUGCCUUACAUGGAGCUUGUUCGUCACCGAUGGGAAAAUGAAGAAGUUAAUUCUUGCAAGAGGUGCAAAAGAAUUGCCUAAAGUUGUUAUCGUAAAACAAAGGAUAACCGGACCAGUCACGAUAAAACGAGCACCUCCAGCGCCGCCGCCACGUCUUACAGCACCCCCAGGGCCUCACCAAUAGUAGGAAUUCCUUGUAUUUCAUGUAUUAGACAUUUCUUGAUGCGGUAAAAAUGUCAUCAAUAGCAUAAGAUCGAAAUCCAUAUAAUAUGUACUCUACUCUAAAUGUCAGUUCAGCAUCAAACACUGAAUAAAUGUGUUACCAAAA